UCAACAAUUGUCUAAACUUUCCAAUUAUCAUUGGAAACUUAAGAUGCAGAAGAUCCCGACUGCAGCUACAAUCAACAAAGAUCCAGCAGCAGAAACAGAGAUCAACACUACUAUCAGAGAAACUGAAGGAACUGAAGUAGAAUAAAAGAGAGACCGUGAUCAAUGAGAGAGUCACAUGACCCACAUUCACCACUGAACACACCAAUGAACAAUUCUGCUGUGAUG
Long non-coding RNA from Cyprinus carpio (common carp), 225 nucleotides. RefSeq lists it as uncharacterized. The record is from RefSeq and is a predicted model, not a curated record. The transcript is spliced from 3 exons. NCBI's taxonomy places the organism in Eukaryota, Metazoa, Chordata, Actinopteri, Cypriniformes, Cyprinidae.